This 414-nucleotide ribosomal RNA is filed under the name uncultured bacterium. RNAcentral's name for it is "bacterial SSU rRNA". It matches the Rfam family "Bacterial small subunit ribosomal RNA", at positions 8 to 404 of the family's 1533-position model. The record is from RNAcentral.
AGAGUUUGAUCCUGGCUCAGAACGAACGCUGNCGGCGUGGUUGAUACAUGCAAGUCGAACGGGAAAGGGGGCUUCGGCCUCCGAGUACAGUGGCGGACGGGUGAGUAACAUAUGAUCAAUCUGCCCGAGAGACCGGGAUAGCCAUCCGAAAGGAUGGGUAAUACCGGAUAAGCCCACGGCGAGGCAUCUCGCAGGGGGAAAAGGAUUGGGAUCUUCGGACCCUUCGCUUUCGGAUGAGAUUAUAUCCUAUCAGUUAGUUGGCGGGGUAACGGCCCACCAAGACGACGACGGGUAGCCGGCCUGAGAGGGUGGACGGCCACACUGGAACUGAGACACGGUCCAGACUCCUACGGGAGGCAGCAGUGCUGAAUUAUUCGCCAAUGCGCGAAAGCGUGACGGUGCGACGCCGCGUGC